UACGUAGGGUGCGAGCGUUAAUCGGAAUUACUGGGCGUAAAGCGUGCGCAGGCGGUUUGUUAAGACAGAUGUGAAAUCCCCGGGCUUAACCUGGGAACUGCAUUUGUGACUGCACAGCUGGAGUGCGGCAGAGGGGGAUGGAAUUCCGCGUGUAGCAGUGAAAUGCGUAGAUAUGCGGAGGAACACCGAUGGCGAAGGCAAUCCCCUGGACCUGUACUGACGCUCAUGCACGAAAGCGUGGGGAGCAAACAGG
This 253-nucleotide ribosomal RNA is filed under the name uncultured bacterium. Its description in RNAcentral is "partial 16S ribosomal RNA". It matches the Rfam family "Bacterial small subunit ribosomal RNA", at positions 524 to 776 of the family's 1533-position model. The record is from RNAcentral.